Molecule: non-coding RNA, 1001 nt
Organism: Drosophila melanogaster (fruit fly)
Lineage: Eukaryota; Metazoa; Arthropoda; Insecta; Diptera; Drosophilidae
Source: Ensembl
UUGUUUUUGCUGUUGUCAUGCUGACCAUGUAAACAAUUUAAUUCGCUGGUUGUUAAUGAUAUUUCCUGAUUGUUGUGCAUAAACAAUGCACUACGGUAGUCCAGCUCAACGUAUUUUAAUUUUCUUGUUUACUCUGCGCGCCGCGCCACACACACACUGGCACAAAAUCAAUAAUACUAAACCAAAGUUUUUGCUCUUCCCUUCAACUUGUUGACCGCUUUUUCGUUUUGGCUUAAACGUUUCGGCCGCCUGUCAUGCGAUGAAAGAGCUUUCUGGGCCCAUGUUAUGCGUCGCCACCCAGAAGCUCAAGUUUGCAGGUGCCCACAUAUUCCAUCAUCAUCAUUUCGAUUCGCCACCAUCAUGAUCAUCGACUGGGGCCUCCCGAGAAGCUUCCUCGAUAAGUUGUUGCUGCCACGCAACCUUCUCUGCGAUCCUCCAAUCCUCCGCUCCUCGGCUCCUCCGCUCCUCGGCUCCUCCGCUCCUUGGUCCCAGUAAAGAGGGACAACCCCCAUAUCGAUCAUCAUCAUCGUCAUCGCGAUCGUUGGGAGGCAAAAGGAACAAGGCUUGAAACAACACCCGACCAAAUGAUCAUGAUCGAUGCGAAUGUUGGCAAUAGGAACGCAUCUGAGCAGAGCAGAAGAAGCUGGCCCGAAGGCAAAACGGCGUCUGCGUUUGAUUUGUUUGCUGCUCCUGCUGCCACUGGCCAUUAAAAGUACAAUGACCAGAGAAAAAUAACGUUAUUAAGCCAUCCGCAGGCAGGAAUCGGGGAAAAACCGAACCCGCAAAAAACCCUUCGAAUCGGGAUCAAAACAAAGAGACCGAGAAUUGGCCAAAACUCACACGCAAUCGGAGGACUCCUUGGAUUUAUUGGGUACCCAGCAAAAAAAAAAAAAAAACGAGGGAUAUGGCUGAGACAGUAGGUUCACUUAGUCAUUUAGUAUUAUAAAUAUUUUAAACAAGUGAGAUAACUAUACAACUAUAAUACAAUCGGUAGAUAUCAU